Molecule: ribosomal RNA, 497 nt
Filed under: uncultured bacterium
Lineage: Bacteria
Description: partial 16S ribosomal RNA
Rfam family: Bacterial small subunit ribosomal RNA
Source: RNAcentral
GAUGAACGCUGGCGGCGUGCCUAAUACAUGCAAGUCGAGCGAACAGGUGAGGAGCUUGCUCCUCUGACGUUAGCGGCGGACGGGUGAGUAACACGUGGAUAACCUACCUAUAAGACUGGGAUAACUUCGGGAAACCGGAGCUAAUACCGGAUAAUAUAUUGAACCGCAUGGUUCAAUAGUGAAAGACGGUUUUGCUGUCACUUAUAGAUGGAUCCGCGCCGCAUUAGCUAGUUGGUAAGGUAACGGCUUACCAAGGCAACGAUGCGUAGCCGACCUGAGAGGGUGAUCGGCCACACUGGAACUGAGACACGGUCCAGACUCCUACGGGAGGCAGCAGUAGGGAAUCUUCCGCAAUGGGCGAAAGCCUGACGGAGCAACGCCGCGUGAGUGAUGAAGGUCUUCGGAUCGUAAAACUCCGUUAUUAGGGAAGAACAAAUGUGUAAGUAACUAUGCACGUCUUGACGGUACCUAAUCAGAAAGCCACGGCUAACUACGUG